This 247-nucleotide ribosomal RNA is filed under the name uncultured bacterium. RNAcentral describes it as "partial 16S ribosomal RNA". It matches the Rfam family "Bacterial small subunit ribosomal RNA", at positions 523 to 769 of the family's 1533-position model. The record is from RNAcentral.
AGACGUAGGGGGCAAGCGUUGUCCGGAAUUACUGGGUGUAAAGGGAGCGUAGACGGCACUGCAAGUCUGGAGUGAAAGCCCGGGGCUCAACCCCGGGACUGCUUUGGAAACUGUGGUGCUAGAGUGCAGGAGAGGUAAGUGGAAUUCCUAGUGUAGCGGUGAAAUGCGUAGAUAUUAGGAGGAACACCAGUGGCGAAGGCGGCUUACUGGACUGUAACUGACGUUGAGGCUCGAAAGCGUGGGGAGC